RNAcentral lists this ribosomal RNA (433 nucleotides) under uncultured bacterium. RNAcentral describes it as "partial 16S ribosomal RNA". It matches the Rfam family "Bacterial small subunit ribosomal RNA", at positions 29 to 507 of the family's 1533-position model. The record is from RNAcentral.
AACGAACGCUGGCGGCAUGCCUAACACAUGCAAGUCGAACGAGACCUUCGGGUCUAGUGGCGCACGGGUGCGUAACGCGUGGGAACCUGCCCUUAGGUUCGGAAUAACUCCCCGAAAGGGGUGCUAAUACCGGAUAAUGUCAUCGGACCAAAGAUCUAUCGCCUUUGGAUGGGCCCGCGUUGGAUUAGCUAGUUGGUAGCGUAAAAGCCUACCAAGGCGACGAUCCAUAGCUGGUCUGUGAGGAUGAUCAGCCACACUGGGACUGAGACACGGCCCAGACUCCUGCGGGAGGCAGCAGUGGGGACUAUUGGACGAUGGGCGAAAGCCUGAUCCAGCAAUGCCGCGUGAGUGAUGAAGGCCUUAGGGUUGUAAAGCUCUUUUACCCGGGAUGAUAAUGACAGUACCGGGAGAAUAAGCUCCGGCUAACUCCGUG